Molecule: unclassified non-coding RNA, 262 nt
Filed under: Hevea brasiliensis (rubber tree)
Lineage: Eukaryota; Viridiplantae; Streptophyta; Magnoliopsida; Malpighiales; Euphorbiaceae
Source: RNAcentral
AUUUCACUUGAGCAUGUGGUGCAAUCCCAAUUACUAAAGAAGGUAUGGACUGUGCACGCAAUGGUAUAUUGUUUUCAGCGUGCAAAAUUUACAUUGGAAUACAUUUGCAUUCAUGGAUGUCUUCUAGUUCUAAAGCUCAUUUAUUUUCUGUUUAUUUAUUCAUGGUAUCUAUUAGUCGUGCUUGAUAUUUCAAGAACGCAAGAUAAGUUAUGCCCCUUAGCCAUGUCAUAUCAAGUGUUUGUGUGUUGUGAAAAGAUUAAAA